Hippocampus comes (tiger tail seahorse) is the source of this 816-nucleotide long non-coding RNA. RefSeq lists it as uncharacterized. The transcript has 2 exons. The record is from RefSeq and is a predicted model, not a curated record. Lineage: Eukaryota; Metazoa; Chordata; Actinopteri; Syngnathiformes; Syngnathidae.
AAAAUUCCGUUUGGUCGGUUCCGUCAUGUUUAUACAGUAUACCCACCGUACACAAUAUUGGAUUGGUCUUCGAAGAUUGGUCAAAAUCCUCUAAAUGAAUGGCAAUGAAUGAGUUAAAGAAUGAGCAUGAUUUUUAUUUUUAUUUUUUCAAAAUGGCUAAAGAAUUAUUUAAAUUUACAGACAGAUCAACUUUUUUUAACCUCGUCUCCAAUUGACCAGGGUCAUCUGUCACUUAAUAAAAUCAAAUCAAAUCUGGCCCUUGAAAACAAUAGAGUACUUAGUCCAACCCUGUCAUGUGGCUGGGUCCGUGCACGUUUAAUAGUGGCUGUCAAACAAGGAAGUGUAGUCUGGUGUGGCACACUUGGGUGUUAGUUCCUCAUUUCUCGUCUCGCUGUGACGAGAAUGGACAAAGGGGACGCUUGACAGCAAAGGAAUCAUCCAGGUUAAUCACUGCAAGAGAGCUGCAGAUGAGUAACCAGCUCAGUCAGGUAUUUCAUUACAAUUUGAUCAUGCAACCCUAAAAUGUUUCAUUGGGAGCCCAUCUAUGUUUUUUCUUAUUGUUGCCAUAGAUAUAGAUAUAAUGUGUUCACAAAUUGCUCAUAUGGGGAAUGAAACAUGCAUUUGAAUUUAUAAUUUGUGGCCAUGAAAUAAGCAUGAUUUGCACAUGAAACACUAAUGUGUGGGUUUUUAAAGAGGUGUGUCAAACGAGCUGUCGCGGGCGACAUUGUGAUUAUAGUUUCCCUCAGAAGACAUGAUGUGACGUGCAGUUUGUCAAGCAUAAAACCAGUGGCAACAUUUUGUCACCUUUAACUACAA